AUUUUAUUCAACGUGUAACGUAUAAGUUGGUAGACCAAUAGAAUUUAUAUGAACAAAUACUAUUUGAUUUCGGGGAAGGUAUAUUGCAAGGUGUAGUCAAGUUUGCUGAUUUUACAAUUGAAAAUAAUUUUAGAAAUACAGGCUAGAAUGCAAAAGGCUGUAGAUAAUACAAAGCCUUCCUUAAGAAUACAAAGAUUUUAUAGGGAAAAACAAGUGUGCGUUGAAAAAAAUCAUUUAUAAAGACGAAAGAUUUACAAAUUAUAACAUGAUACAUCAGGAAAAUUACUUCCGAAUAAAUUGACUAUACAUAAUUUGACUGAUGAUUGGCUAAAAGCUAUUCAGGUGAUUUGGAAAACUACCCACUUAAAUGCAGAAAACAAUUGUGAUAUAAAUAAAUCAAUGUCGGAUUGUUUUCAAGAAAGAGAAGAACUUUGAUUGCGUUAUCAAGUAGCUGUAAUUAGAAAUGCUAUAAACGAACUUGGAUGUAAAAAAUUACCUUCUGGAUAUGACCUUUCAAUGGAGGAUUCAUUUACUGAGCCAACAAAAACAAAAUCAAAAUUUACAAGAGGACAACAUUUCUAACAUUUCUAAUAGUUUCUUUGGCUUCAACCCAUAAACUUCUGUCUGAUAAACAAGCAUAAUGCCAUUGCUGAAUCAAAUCGUCUAAAGUAAUAAGAAUAGACAUCUGUGAAAAUAAC
Molecule: long non-coding RNA, 698 nt
Organism: Phymastichus coffea
Lineage: Eukaryota; Metazoa; Arthropoda; Insecta; Hymenoptera; Eulophidae
Exons: 5
Source: RefSeq, a predicted model, not a curated record